Molecule: long non-coding RNA, 1371 nt
Filed under: Oncorhynchus kisutch (coho salmon)
Lineage: Eukaryota; Metazoa; Chordata; Actinopteri; Salmoniformes; Salmonidae
Description: lncRNA (ENSOKIG00005000596.1)
Source: RNAcentral
AUGUUCUCUCUCUCUGUCCUCUCUCUCUCUCUUGCCUCUCUCUCUCUCGCCUCUCUCUCGCCUCUCCCUCUCUCGCCUCUCCCUCUCUCGCCUCUCUCUCUCUCGCCUCUCUCUCUCUCGCCCUCUCUCUCUCUCGCCUCUCUCUCUCGCCUCUCUCUCUCUCUCUCUCGCCUCUCUCUCUCUCUCUCUCGCCUCUCUCUCUCUCUCUCUCUCGCCUCUCUCUCUCUCUCUCUCUCCUCUCUCUCUCUCUCGCCUCUCUCUCUCUCUCUCUCUCUCGCCUCUCUCUCUCUCUCUCGACUCUCUCUCUCUCUCGCUCUCUCUCUCUCUCUCCUCUCUCUCUCUCUCUCGCCUCUCUCUCUCUCUCCUCUCUCUCUCUCUCUCUCUCUGUCUCUCACUCUCUCUCCUCUCUCUCUCUCGCCUCUCUCUCUCUCUCUCGUCUCUCUCUCUCAUCUCUCUCUCGUCUCUCUCUCUCAUCUCUCUCUCGCCUCUCUCUCUCUCUCGCCUCUCUCUCUCGCCUCUCUCUCUCGCCUCUCUCUCUCAUCUCUCUCGCCUCCCUCUCUGUCGUCUCUCUCUCUGUCGUCUCUCUCUCUCGUCUCUCUCCCUCUCUCUGUCUCCUCCCUCUCUCUGUCGCCUCUCUCUCUCUGUCGUCUCCCUCUCGUCUCUCCCUCUCUCUCGUCUCUCUCUCGUCUCUCCCUCUCUCUCGUCUCUCUCUUUCUCUGUCGCCUCUCUCCCUCUGUCCUCUCUCUCCCUCUGUCCUCUCUCUCUCUCUUCUCCCUCUCUCUCGUCUCUCUUUCUCUGUCGUCUCUCUCUCUCUCGUCUCUCUCUCUCGUCCCUCUCUCUGUCGUUUCUUUCUCUCUCGGUCUCUCUCUCUCGCUCUCUCUCCCUCUCUCUGUUGUCUCUCUCUCUCGUCUCUCUCCCUCUCUCUGUCGCCUCUCUCUCUCUGUCGUCUCCCUUUCGUCUCUCCCUCUCUCUCGUCUCUCUCUCGUCUCUCCCUCUCUCUCGUCUCUCUCUUUCUCUGUCGCCUCUCUCCCUCUGUCCUCUCUCUCCCUCUGUCCUCUCUCUCUCUCGUCUCCCUCUCUCUCGUCUCCCUCUCUCCCUCCUCUCUCUCUCGUCUCCCUCUCUCCCUCCUCUCUCUCUCGUCUCCCUCUCUCCCUCCUCUCUCUCUCGUCUCCCUCUCUCCUUCCUCUCUCUCUCUUGUGUCUCUCUCUCAUCCCUCUCUCUGUCGUCUCUUUCUCUCUCUCUCGCUCUCUAACUCCUGUCCUUGUCUCGCUCUUUGUUUCAGUGCCUUGCAGCAUCUCUCUCUCCCUCCCCCUCCCUCUAAAUCAUGUCCUCCUCUCUCCCGCUAACUCAUGUCCUCCUCUCUCCCGCUAA